GCCUCGGUGGUAUAAUGGUAAGCACGACAGACCGGAUAUCUGUAAGUGCGGGUACGAGUCCCGCCUGAGGUA
Molecule: non-coding RNA, 72 nt
Organism: Dictyocaulus viviparus (bovine lungworm)
Lineage: Eukaryota; Metazoa; Nematoda; Chromadorea; Rhabditida; Metastrongylidae
Source: Rfam